RNAcentral lists this ribosomal RNA (171 nucleotides) under uncultured bacterium. RNAcentral's name for it is "partial 16S ribosomal RNA". It matches the Rfam family "Bacterial small subunit ribosomal RNA", at positions 796 to 1041 of the family's 1533-position model. The record is from RNAcentral.
CACGCCGUAAACGAUGAAUACUAGGUGUGGGGGUUGUCAUGACCUCCGUGCCGCCGCUAACGCAUUAAGUAUUCCGCCUGGGGAGNCAACGCGAAGAACCUUACCUAGACUUGACAUCUCCUGAAUUACUCUUAAUCGAGGAAGUCCCUUCGGGGACAGGAAGACAGGUGG